Molecule: ribosomal RNA, 497 nt
Filed under: uncultured bacterium
Lineage: Bacteria
Description: partial 16S ribosomal RNA
Rfam family: Bacterial small subunit ribosomal RNA
Source: RNAcentral
GAUGAACGCUGGCGGCGUGCCUAAUACAUGCAAGUCGAGCGAACAGACGAGGAGCUUGCUCCUCUGACGUUAGCGGCGGACGGGUGAGUAACACGUGGAUAACCUACCUAUAAGACUGGGAUAACUUCGGGAAACCGGAGCUAAUACCGGAUAAUAUAUUGAACCGCAUGGUUCAAUAGUGAAAGACGGUUUUGCUGUCACUUAUAGAUGGAUCCGCGCCGCAUUAGCUAGUUGGUAAGGUAACGGCUUACCAAGGCAACGAUGCGUAGCCGACCUGAGAGGGUGAUCGGCCACACUGGAACUGAGACACGGUCCAGACUCCUACGGGAGGCAGCAGUAGGGAAUCUUCCGCAAUGGACGAAAGCUUGACGGAGCAACGCCGCGUGAGCGAUGAAGGUCUUCGGAUCGUAAAACUCUGUUAUUAGGGAAGAACAAAUGUGUAAGUAACUAUGCACGUCUUGACGGUACCUAAUCAGAAAGCCACGGCUAACUACGUG